RNAcentral lists this ribosomal RNA (492 nucleotides) under uncultured bacterium. RNAcentral describes it as "partial 16S ribosomal RNA". It matches the Rfam family "Bacterial small subunit ribosomal RNA", at positions 29 to 507 of the family's 1533-position model. The record is from RNAcentral.
AGUGAACGCUGGCGGUAGGCCUAACGCAUGCAAGUCGAACGGCAGCACAGUAAGAGCUUGCUCUUACGGGUGGCGAGUGGCGGACGGGUGAGGAAUACAUCGGAAUCUACUUUUUCGUGGGGGAUAACGUAGGGAAACCUACGCUAAUACCGCAUACGACCUACGGGUGAAAGCAGGGGAUCUUCGGACCUUGCGCGAUUGAAUGAGCCGAUGUCGGAUUAGCUAGUUGGCGGGGUAAAGGCCCACCAAGGCGACGAUCCGUAGCUGGUCUGAGAGGAUGAUCAGCCACACUGGAACUGAGACACGGUCCAGACUCCUACGGGAGGCAGCAGUGGGGAAUAUUGGACAAUGGGCGCAAGCCUGAUCCAGCCAUACCGCGUGCGUGAAGAAGGCCUUCGGGUUGUAAAGCCCUUUUGUUGGGAAAGAAAAGCAGCAGGUUAAUACCCCGCUGUUCUGACGGUACCCAAAGAAUAAGCACCGGCUAACUUCGUG